This 587-nucleotide ribosomal RNA is filed under the name uncultured archaeon. RNAcentral's name for it is "bacterial SSU rRNA". It matches the Rfam family "Archaeal small subunit ribosomal RNA", at positions 1 to 576 of the family's 1478-position model. The record is from RNAcentral.
UCCGGUUGAUCCUGCCAGAGGCCGCUGCUAUCCGGCUGGGACUAAGCCAUGCUAGUCUAGGGGCUUGUACUCCUUCGGGGGUGCAAGCACCGGCGGACGGCUCAGUAACACGUGGACAACCUGCCCUCGGGUGGGGGAUAACCCCGGGAAACUGGGGCUAAUCCCCCAUAGGUGAUGGGUGCUGGAAUGCCCCAUCUCCGAAAGCGCUUAGCGCCCGAGGAUGGGUCUGCGGCGGAUUAGGUAGUUGGUGGGGUAACGGCCCACCAAGCCUAAGAUCCGUACGGGCUGUGGGAGCAGGAGCCCGGAGAUGGACCCUGAGACAAGGGUCCAGGCCCUACGGGGCGCAGCAGGCGCGAAACCUCCGCAAUGCGGGAAACCGCGACGGGGUUAGCCGGAGUGCCCGUGCAUUGCACGGGCUGUCGGGGUGCCUAAACAGCACCCCAUAGCAAGGGCCGGGCAAGGCCGGUGGCAGCCGCCGCGGUAAGACCGGCGGCCCGAGUGGCGGCCACUCUUAUUGGGCCUAAAGCGUCCGUAGCCGGCCCAGUAAGUCCCCCGGGAAAUCUGGUCGCUUAACGAUCAGACUUCCG